GCUUAUUCUCAGGGCGGGGUGAAAGUCCCCACCGGCGGUAAAUCAUCAGGUGUAACAGCCAAGUGAAAGCCCGCGAGCGCUUAACUUAGCCAACGCUAGGUUCAAGGUCAGCAGAUCCGGUGUAAUUCCGGGGCCGACGGUUAUAGUCCGGAUGGGAGAGAGUAACG
RNAcentral lists this non-coding RNA (167 nucleotides) under Pragia fontium. RNAcentral's name for it is "FMN sequence". It matches the Rfam family "FMN riboswitch aptamer (RFN element)". From Rfam's summary of the family: The RFN element is a highly conserved domain that is found frequently in the 5'-untranslated regions of prokaryotic mRNAs that encode for flavin mononucleotide (FMN) biosynthesis and transport proteins. This element is a metabolite-dependent riboswitch that directly binds FMN in the absence of proteins. In Bacillus subtilis, the riboswitch most likely controls gene expression by causing premature transcription termination within the 5' untranslated region of the ribDEAHT operon and precluding access to the ribosome-binding site of ypaA mRNA. Lineage: Bacteria; Pseudomonadati; Pseudomonadota; Gammaproteobacteria; Enterobacterales; Budviciaceae. The record is from RNAcentral.